UAAAGAAUGUUUAGAUGUAAGUAGGAGCUCCUUUCAAGCCAAGACCGAGGGACGAGGAGCGGCAAGAGCUGCCUAGUCAUGCAUAUUGGUUAACCUUAACAAACAAAUUAUGUAUAGUGUUAAGAUUAACCAGUUGCAUGGCAAGGGAGCAACUACUUCCGCUAACUUGUCUCACUUAUUGGACUGAAGGGAGCUCCUAUCCAUUUAUAUAUAGUUAAGUUAACUAUAUAAAAUAUAUUAAUUUUGACCUUAGCUUGUUCUAGCUAGUUAAGCAGUACUAACAUUUUGAUAAAUAGUAAGUAACAAUUUUAUGCCACUUUUCAAUCGACUUCUCCGUGACUUUAAUUUUUCGAUAAAGAGGUUGAAAGAGAGACAUCAACAAGGCGUCGAGGAACUCAAUUAAGAUGAGAAUAUACAAUGUAUAUACAUUCUAAGACACUUUUGUAUAUUGUACUUUUGUUGUAGACAUAAAAGACUAUAUUUAGUUGGGACUCAACCCAUUUGUUUUGGGGUUGGUUGUGUGUGUAACCUAAGAUGAUUUUGGGCCUUGUCCUCUUCCUAUUUUGUAUGGAUUCAUACAUACAAAUGCAUAUAAAAAGCCCAACUCAGUGAGUAACAAUUACUUUGAGAG
This is a long non-coding RNA of Solanum lycopersicum (tomato), 631 nucleotides long. RefSeq lists it as uncharacterized. Lineage: Eukaryota; Viridiplantae; Streptophyta; Magnoliopsida; Solanales; Solanaceae. The record is from RefSeq and is a predicted model, not a curated record.